UGGUAACAGAAGUUGCUUCUAGAAGAGGAGGAGGAAGGAAAGGAGGCGAUUUCCACCAUCCGCGCUUCUCUGGGGUUUGAACGUGGCUGAACGGCAGGCACGAAGGCGCAGGGAAGCCUCCCAGCGAGCCGCUGCAGGGCAGCUCCGAACUCCAGAAGAACACGUACGUGUGCACUGGGAACUACGUGUAACGCUGGUCACCGUCCAAAGCCCAAGCACCCGCUGACAGGAGCGGAUUAACAGAAGCGGCCAUGGCGAGACCCCACACGGCAGUGAGAGUUGCGACUGCGGUUAUACGCGGGACAUUGAGGCAUCUCGGAAAACCAGCUGUGUGAGCGCACGCGUCUACACGUCAUGUCACUGGCGUACAGCUGGGAAACGUACUUCCUCAUUCAUCCCCCGGGGCACAUACGCAACGGAGCGAAACCCAAGGACAGAGCCGCUAACUGCCACGCCCAUCCUAACCCUCCACAUCGGCUCAUCUCUAGCCCCGAGCCCUUCACUCAGCCUCCACUUUCUCGACUCCAAACUUAGGACCCCAGUGUGACUCCAGCCACGUCUGGCCCGCCCAACCCUGCUGCCCCAGUGCACCCCAGUACAGACAGCUGUGGGCAGUAGCUUUGAAGGGGGCAUGGGUUCCGGAGAGAAAAGAGCAGAUGACAUGGUCCUAAGGUCCACUCUUCCCACAGGUGCCCCUGUGGCCGCUGGGGUCAUGACCCUGGCCGGGUUUAGACAUUAUGAGAAAUGCUGGUCAGGAAAAUGGGAUCAGCUCUAUCCCUGGACACUAGCACCUGAGCCCACAGGGCGGUUGUCGGUCUGCGGGCGCCCAGCCGUGAGCUUCUCCAAUCCAUUCUUUCCGCCGAAGUCUUGCUCCGAAUCCUUCAACAGCUCCCCACUGCUUUUUAAAGGUGAAGGACACGCACGCGCGAGCACACGCAGGAAACAGAAGUUGCUUCCGGGGCGCCUGUGGCUCCGCGGCCGAGCAUCUGACUCGGUUUGGGCUCAGGUCGUGACCCGCGGUGCCGACACCGAGCCCCGUGUCUGCGGGGGUCUCUCUUCCUGGCCCUCUGCCCCUCCCGCUUAUGCACAUGUUCGUGCUGUCUCUCAGAUACGUAAAUACGGAAAAAAUGAAUGGAAGUUACUUUCAACACAAGGGGGAAGGUGGAGAGUUUUCAAAGUCUGAUCUCCCAGCGAAGAGCCCGCACGAAACCAGGUUUUCCUGGUCUUUCAAAAGACGCGUUCGCAGAGCACCUCCUACCGCCGCGGGGAAGCAGAGGCACACGUCAGGGCAGCGCGGGACAAAGGCUCACGGCCGCCACUGCUUGAACACUCCGGGGACUGAGUGUCCUUUCAGGUCUCCAGGGUCCCUCGCAGGCGUGCAGGCCAGGCGCGCGGCUCACCACUGGCCGCCGGGCCGGGGCCGGGCCCGAGCCCGGGCUCGGGGGGGGAACAGUCCGAUGUGCGAGACAAUUCUGGGGACGGAUGGUGGUGACGGCCACACGGGAACGCGGGUGUGACCUCGUGGACCCGCUGGAAAUGACGGUAAAUCUGACGUUCUGCAUAUUUUACCACAAACGCCACAAAGGAGUGAUGGAAAAAUCCAAGCUAAAUUGCCCAGUUCUCUUCCAAGACAGAAGAGUCCUCUGUCUGACCCCAGGCGUUGCUUUAAAUGCGGGAAACAGAGACCCCGGAGACGAGUCACUUUCUGAGUCCGAAGCCUUUCCCGGGGUGCCGGGAAGGGGUCCCCGCUCCCCACCGUAAGUCAGGUUUUGCUGCUGCCCUGAUGAAAGACGCGCUGAGGUCCCCUCUCUCUCGGGCGCAAGUCCCCUCACAGGAAGCUCCGAUGCAUGCGGACAGGGAGUCGGGAAGGGCCCGAACCCAGCCCAGAAAGGCGGCCCGGAGCCCUGUGCUGACUCGGACGUCAGCGGUCGCAGAAAUCAGGCUGUUGUGCAAACUGAACUUGUUCUGCUGAGGUCACUGUAGAGCCGCCUGCAGCUGAAGGUCGCCCGAAGAGCUCGUGUGCGGGAUGUUUCCUCCCGUUAUCGCCUCGGAGUCCCCCGCCCCCACUGGACCCCUGACGACUAGUCCCCUGCUCUCCAUUCCUGGGACCGCGUCACUUCGGAGACAUCCUAUGAAGGACACGUACGGGACGCUGCCUUUGAUACUGGCUUUUUUCACUCAUCCUGACUUCCCAGGCACCCCCAGGCUGUGUGUCAUAGGCACUAAGAGUUGUUCCUUCGACCCUGUGCCAUGUAAGGAGGCGUCUAACCAGUCAUCCAGUGAAGACCUGGGGGCUGUCACGCCUCUGCCGUGAGGGACAGAACUCCUACGGAGCGGCCUUCGUGGAGAGAGAAGCCAAGAGUCUACAGGUUAAGACGAUUUAGCUCAGGAACUGGACUCUUCAGAACUAGUGCUGAACUGAAUUAGUGCUACCUUGAUUUUAACAAUCACUGUUUUUUUUUUUUUUUAAAGAUUUAUUUAUUUGACAGAGAGACAGCGAGAGAGGGAACACAAGCAGGG
Long non-coding RNA from Neogale vison (American mink), 2520 nucleotides. RefSeq lists it as uncharacterized. The transcript is spliced from 3 exons. NCBI's taxonomy places the organism in Eukaryota, Metazoa, Chordata, Mammalia, Carnivora, Mustelidae. The record is from RefSeq and is a predicted model, not a curated record.